Molecule: ribosomal RNA, 253 nt
Filed under: uncultured bacterium
Lineage: Bacteria
Description: partial 16S ribosomal RNA
Rfam family: Bacterial small subunit ribosomal RNA
Source: RNAcentral
UACAGAGGCCCCAAGCGUUACUGAGAAUCACUGGGUUUAAAGGGUGCGUAGGUUGUCCGUUAAGUUCGUUGUGAAAGCCCUGGGCUCAACCCAGGAACUGCACUCGAAACUCCCGGUCUUGAGUGGUGGAGAGGGAAGUGGAAUUCCUGGUGUAGAGGUGAAAUUCGUAGAUAUCAGGAGGAACACCAGUGGCGAAGGCGGCUUCCUGGACACCAACUGACGCUGAGACGCGAAAGCGUGGGGAGCAAACAGG